This 539-nucleotide long non-coding RNA is filed under the name Nicotiana benthamiana. RNAcentral's name for it is "long non-coding RNA (NBEN_LNC021981)". The record is from RNAcentral. Lineage: Eukaryota; Viridiplantae; Streptophyta; Magnoliopsida; Solanales; Solanaceae.
CUGGUUUGCCGCUCUCUGAUUUUAUCUAAAAGCUUAUGAUGUAUUUCUUGUUGAUUUUGUUUUAUUUAUUUAUUUUCAUCUUGGUUUAUGUUAAUGUCUUUUCUUGUUUGUCAGGCAGAAGUAAGUUUUCUUGGUGACCUCAUUCAUCCCAAUCUAGUUAAACUGAUUGGUUAUUGUAUUGAAGAUGAUCAAAGGCUGCUAGUUUAUGAAUUUAUGCAAAGUCCAUUGGUGACCUCAUUCAUCCCAAUCUAGUUAAACUGAUUGGUUAUUGUAUUGAAGAUGAUCAAAGGCUGCUAGUUUAUGAAUUUAUGCCUCGAGGAAGCUUGGAGAACCAUCUGUUCAGAAGUAUGUAAUUGACCCUUUUCUAAUAUACUUUACAUUGUUUAAUCAAGACCAGGGUCGAUUUGUUAGGAGGAAGAAACUUUCUUAUUCUCCUUAGUUUCUAGUUUUUAGUUGCUUUAAUAUCAUGGGAAAAAGGUACAUUUUGUGCUAAAGGAAUAAAAAUGACUUAUUUGAGGGUAUAAAGAAUCUUGAGAAAG